GGCUUCCAGCUUCUCUGAGACAUCAUCCUUUGGGGCUCAAACUUUCCCUGUUUAGUCUCAGCCCAAAGGUGAGUUGAUGGGAAGUUUGAGU
RNAcentral lists this microRNA precursor (91 nucleotides) under Marmota monax (woodchuck). It matches the Rfam family "mir-186 microRNA precursor family". The record is from RNAcentral. Lineage: Eukaryota; Metazoa; Chordata; Mammalia; Rodentia; Sciuridae.